Molecule: ribosomal RNA, 486 nt
Filed under: uncultured bacterium
Lineage: Bacteria
Description: partial 16S ribosomal RNA
Rfam family: Bacterial small subunit ribosomal RNA
Source: RNAcentral
GAUGAACGCUGGCGGCGUGCCUAAUACAUGCAAGUCGAACGCUGGAAAUCUAGCUUUCUAGAUUGAAGGAUUGGCGAACGGGUGAGUAAUACAUAAGCAACCUACCCACGAAGACUGGGAUAAUCUCUGGAAACGGGGACUAAUACCGGAUAGGUAAUCGGAAGGCAUCUUCUGAUUAUUAAAGGUUAAAAACACUGGUGGAUGGGCUUAUGGCGCAUUAGUUAGUUGGUGAGGUAACGGCCCACCAAGAAGAUGAUGCGUAGCCGGCCUGAGGGGGUGAAAGGCGACAUUGGGAAUGAGACACGGACCAGAAUGCUACGGGAGGCAGCAGUAGGGAAUGUUCGGCAAUGGGGGAAAACCUGACCGAGCAACGCCGCGUGAGUGAGGACGGCCUUCGGGAUGUAAAGCUAUGUUGUAAGGGAAGAACGGUAGAUAGAGAAUAUCUAAAUGACGGUACCUAACCAGAAAGCCACGGCUAACUACGUG